Molecule: long non-coding RNA, 4715 nt
Organism: Capsicum annuum
Lineage: Eukaryota; Viridiplantae; Streptophyta; Magnoliopsida; Solanales; Solanaceae
Exons: 7
Source: RefSeq, a predicted model, not a curated record
AUUUUCACGGGAAAUUGGCCAGUCAUAAAAUAUAUGAGCUAAUAUAAGGUAUAGAUUCUGUUGGAUGAUGUUGAUUAGCAUCAAGUAGUUGCUGCUAUUUUCUUCUGGAGGUUGAAAAAUGAAUUACAAAUGGAUCUUACUUUCGGUGGAAUUGUGGAUACACACUCAUUAAAUAUUUUUAUUGUCUACAUGAGAUGUUGUCCGUCACCCUUUGAACCUAUCACUAGGAUUUACAUGUGACAUCAAUGGUGAAGGAGCUUUCCAUUUGGAUGCAAUUUUAUUGGAGGAAUCUCUAUUUUGCUUAUUGUUUUAUUUCUUGGGUUGAACUAUAUCUUUUCUCUACUAUAUACAUAGCCUGAUACAAAAGCAAACUUUUCUAUCGCCUCUUUUAAGUUUUUUCCAACCUCAAGUUUUGGCUUCUAUAUCUCACUUUGUGUAAAUAUUUGAUUCUUCAAAACCAUUAUACAUGGCAGACAUAGCUUACAACUAUUUCCUUUGCCCUUUGUAAGGUUUGUUAAGAUCUUCUAUAUAUAAGUUGAUUCUUUGUUUAUUUCCUGUGCUUGGUAGUUUAUCUUCGUAGUUCUGAAUCUACACCCUGCAGGCCUUUGAUUUGUUUGAAAUUCUGAAUAAAGAGGAAGAAAUACUUUUUACUAUUAGGGAGAAGCAGCUUCAAGUACUAUUAAACUCAAUUAGUUGAUUUGGCUUCUUUCCAUGCUAAUUAGCCAUUCAAUUCUGGUAGCCUUUGAUUAUGUAAUUGCUAUUUGAACUUGUGCUUUCAAUCUUUAAUUAUCUCCCCUUUAUGAGUUUAUUUCAUUUGAGCCUGUGCUUUCCGCCCCGAUACACUUCGAAACACGAGUCUGCCUAAUAGAAACAUACCGAACUAUUACUUUGGAGUUUGUUGGAAGUGGUUAGGUGCAGUAAUGACUAGUUGAUACUAGAACAAAAGGAGGUGAUGCAACUCCAAAUGACUGUAAAAAUACUACUACUUGUGGAAUUCUCUCAGUCUUCCUUCCUUUUCUGUUUCAGUAAUUGCCUUAGGGUGGUACCCUUUUUUCUCCUUUUGUGGGGGUAGUCCUUCCCUCAAGACUACCUAAAGCAUCAACAUUAAGCUGCAAUGCCUCUAUCCUAAAUAAACUGCUCCCUUGAGACAUAAAUUUUCUAGUACUAGAUAGUAAAAACCACUAAUCUUUGAGGGCGAAUUGACCUUCCAUAUCAGCUUCCAUGAACACUAAUCAAUUAGAGUUCUGUUAGAACAAUCUAUGCUAUUACCCCAUUUGAGAAUGUCAUUUUUCAAGAGGUUGACAGUAGUAGAUUGUAGCCUUCAAGUAAAUUCUGCAAAUCCAUCUCCAGUAUUGUGUAAUACCAUACAAGCAAGCUUAUAGGGCCAAGAAAAGAGGCCUGCAAGCUAUAUAUGGAUCUUUUGAAGAAGGGUACUGUCUAUUACCUGCAUAUUGUGAGCAAAUCAAGAAGACAAAUCCUGGAAGUCAUGCUGAGGUUUUUAAAGCUGGUUCAGAUAGUCGCUUUCAGAGGUUCUUCAUUUCCUAUUGUGCUUCUUUUCAUGGGUUCCUGAAUGGUUGCUUGCCUGUUAUUUGUCUUGGUGGUAUCCAGCUUAAGAGCAAAUACUUAGGUACUUUACUAUCAGCGACUUCUUUUGAUGCUGAUGGUGGAGUAUUUUCACUAUCUUUUGGUGUUGUCGAUGAAGAAAAUGAUGAUAGCUGGAUGUGGUUCUUGUUAGAGUUGCGCAAAGCUCUAGACAUGAGCACUGAGAAGAUACUGAUUGCAGGUAUUUAGCAGUAGAUUUCAAAUAUUUUUCACAUUUGGAAUUUAUGGAAUUGAAGAUAAAGUUUUUGCGCAAACCUAAAGAAGUUGUUUUGAUAACACUUUGCCUUAAGUAAAACAUCUUAAUACAGUUAUAACAUGGUUAAAUAAAGGGUUAUGUUAUAACGAACUAGUGAAUGGAGGAAACUAGUAAACCAUUAUCCAAGAUUAAUAACUAGAGAACUUAAGAAUGGAGGAAACUAACGAUGUGAUAAAAAUAAUCAAACAAGUUGAUGAAACUUGUGAAUCAAAUUCGAAUGUUAGGAGAGAUUUUCUAGAAUAAAGGAUUGCACCAUAGAUUAGCUAAACCAAAGUGAUAUGGAAGGAUACAAACCAUAUUUGGGAUGGUUUGACAAAGACUCAUUGAGGAAAAUUGUCUUUUAUAAAAUAAACAACCGAACCUUACAAUGGACACCCUGUCUCAGUAAUCACUUCCUUUUGCAGCCAUUCUUUGUUAAGAAUGUUUGAUGAUUUGAUAAUUCAAGCGAAGGGUGGCCUUACAAUAUAUCAAGGACCAGUAAAGACAGUUUAACAGUUCUUUGCAGGCAUUGGAAUAACUGUACCUGAUCGCGUUAAUCCUCAUGAUCAUUUCAUUGAUAUUUUAUAAGGAAUUUGUAAACUCCCAAGCACAGGACUGAGCUAUAGAGAUCUUCCUGUUAGAUGGAUGCUUCAUACUGAUACCUCAUACCACCAGAUAUGGUAGAUUCUUCUGGAUCAAGAGCAUCUUCGGUUGGAGAAAAUUCAGCUGAUGGAGUAAGUCCUGCAGCUGCUACCUCUGAUCAAUCUGGAGACCUGUGGUCAGAGAUCAAAUCCAAUGUUGCACAGAAGAAGGACCGCAUGCGGUUUAACUUUUUGGCAUGGUCGGACUUGUCCCAUCAGAAAACCCUAGUGUAUUGCUUCAAUAUAAGUAUUUCCUUGGAAGAUACGAUUUGACUGGACAACUGACAUAGAAGAGUGACGUGUAUAGCUUUGGAGUUGUCUUAAAAACCUGUAGAUCAUACAAUGCCUCGAGGAAAGCAGAGCCUGGUUACUUGGGCUACCCCGAGACAAAGUUCAGCAAUGUGACAAUCGAAAGCUGAAAGGAUGUCCUCCAAAGACAGUGGCUAAGGUCUCGUCUUCUCUUUUUGUGUCCUAUAUCUACUUUGUCUCUUCUUCCCCCCUCCCUCCCAUCAGACCCAACACAACAACUAUAGUUUAAUCCGAAGCAAGUUGUGGUUGGUUAUAUAUAUAUAUUCUCACCAUCAAUGACACUCUAUUUGGACUCAUCUCAGACUAAUAUUAUACAAGAUAAAAAUUGAAAGUACUCGAAGUUUCUCUAUUUUCUAUUGGUAUUAAAUCUGACAUGACUAAAAAUACUCCUAGAAAAUAUAGGACGUAUGUUAAACGUACUAACAUGACGUAAAAUUAUCUAUCGGUGCGUAUAACUUAAAUCUUUUGUGAUAUGUGAGUACCUUUUAAGGUUCUGCAGAAUCCUUUGAGUCAGUUUACAUUGCUGUUACUAAUGUGGUUACUGAUGUUGUUCAAAUUGUUAGAUCGAUCCUACAAAAUACAAGAACAUUUCCUCUGGUUGUUGUGUUUCUACAUGACAUGAUGCAGUUUCAGAUUAUCCAGGGCAUAACAUUAGGUAGGAAGUUGUGAAGGAAACUAAUUGUAGUAGUUGGUCGACAGUAAGGAGUUAAUAUCAUGAGUUGUUACUAUACGAGCAUCGAUCACAUUGUCAACCCCAAGCCCAAAUUUUCUCGUCUUUUACAAUUUAAUUACUACCUCUGCGGUCUCUGCUGGAGUUUUACUGGUGCUGGAAUGAUUCCUGGUUUAGUUUAUCUUGUUUACUCUUUAUUCCAGCUUGCCUGUGGCGGAUUAGCUGGAUCUACUGCUGCACUGUUAACAACUCCCUUCGAUGUUGUCAAGACAAAAUUACAGACACAGGUUAUUCAUCCGAUGUGUUCCUUUUAUGUUAGUAUGUCGUACAGUUUGCUUGAAACUAGGAUCAAUUUAAAGUAUUCUGAAAGCAUUCCAUUUCUGUGUUUCAUAUCCUUUUUUUCUAUUUAACUGAUUGCUAAUGAGAAACUGAUUUAAGACUGGUAUGAGUGCGCCUUUGGAAAGCUUCAGCUUCUGUACUCCUCAUCUUCCCCUUUACACUAUAUGGACGACUGAUUUGUAUAGUUCCUAAGGAAGUCUUGGUCGUGCUGAUUCCUGGAUCUAGGACUCAUUUUGGUGUAUUCGGCACACUUCAAGAAAUUGGGAAGCGCGAAGGUCUGAAAGGUCUCUACAGAAGCUGUUGGUCGCUGGAAUGCUGAUUUUGACCAUGUGUAUCAAAGUAUGAUCUUUAGUUGGCCAUCAAACUUUCUCAAUGCUGCAGCUGCGAGAGAUUUUAUUUCCCAAAGGAUCUUUGAUUGGCUGAGAGAGAGGGACCAGUUGCGCACAGAUAUGGAUGUUGGGAAUGUCUUCCAAGGAAUGCGUGAAGCAGUCAUGAGAUUUCUUCCAACAUACAAAUUUGAGAGACAUCAAAUUGGCUUAGCAGGUUAUGACUGGUGAAAAGAAGCAAAUUCCUGCCUGGUGUGACAGAAUUUUGUAUCGUGAUAGUUGUUCCACUUUAGCUUUCAGAUGCAGCUUAGAUUGUCCUAUCAUCUCAUCAGUUCUUCAGUGUCCGAAAUGAAGAAAGUGAUGAAGACAUUGACCUUACUUGAAAAGAUUUUUGGGUUGUGGAUAAAUGCUCUAAUAUCAAUAGUUUUUUGUUGAAUUUUUUCAAACUUAUCGCGACUCGAACUUGCUAGUACGUAAAAACUUGACUAAUUAUUUGGACUUGAUUACAUUUUGCUUUUGGGUUUAAAUUACUAGCUUGUUGCAUGUUUUGAAUUAUGAGAUUAUUAAUGAAUGAUUUUGUGUUAUGAUGUGUA